Molecule: long non-coding RNA, 1554 nt
Organism: Felis catus (domestic cat)
Lineage: Eukaryota; Metazoa; Chordata; Mammalia; Carnivora; Felidae
Exons: 2
Source: RefSeq, a predicted model, not a curated record
AAGAAAGAAAUGGAAUCAUUAAUUUACCUCUCUUUUUUUCUUGCUAAUUUUCAUUACAGUUUAAGGUAGUAAUUCCAAACUUUUUCAGGCUCUACGCUGUCAGCACAAAGCCCAAUGCGACGCUCAAACCUGUGAACCCCAAGCUCAUGACCUGAGCCAAAGUCCAACACUCAACCAAGUGAGCCACCAGGCACCCUUAGAAAUUUUGACAAAAUUUCAUCUUACUACACAAUUCUCUCAUGGCUAAAAGACUGAAAGAAAGACAGCUGGCAGUGAAAUGCUUAUAAAACUGGAGCCUACAUCUUAAUUGGUUAAUUCAAACAGGGCUGCCUUAGAUAUUAGAGACAAUUCAUAUGAAAAUUAAAAACGCAGCCAAUCAUCUCUACGAUUGACUUUGAUUUUACAACAUUAAACCAAAAUCUGUGAGUCUAAUGAUCUACACUGUAUAGAAGACAUCAGAACGUUUUAUUCUUUGUCCAAAUAUUUGUUAUUAUAACCUUUUGGUUUUGAAAUGAUUUCCUUUCGAAUUCAUAAUACAUUGUGAGAAGUCAAAUUAGCAUGCAGGAAACUUGGUGAGUAGCCCAGAAAUGAGCCUUUAACAUGCAGUCUUUAGAGAGAGGUUAUGUUAAACAUAUAAUUAAACGGUCACUGAAGAUGUACAGGAGUAUUUUUGCAACAAAUCAAAUACGGUGGAACCAGGAUCCUCAAAUUUCAACAUUUUCUAUCCAGGUAAAUGACAGUAAACUUCAUAAGGGAAAAAGAGUUUUAAGCCAAUGAUUAAUCUUCAAUGAGUCCACAGUAGAAAUGAAGGUAAUGAAGCCAUCAAGAUGGCACUAAAGCAAAUUUCGUAACUAGAGUGAGGAGUAACUUGGAGUGACAACAGUAAGUGUUGGAGUCACAGGAGUUCAGUAACUUGGGAAUUUAUGCAGGAAAAUAAUCCGAGAAGGUAAGAAGGAUCCAUGGUGGUCACUGAGGAGGAAUAAUAGAAGGGGAGCUCUGCAAUUAAUCACAGGAAAUCAAGAGAUGCCUUUGGAGUCAGACAAGUACUACAUCUGCUCCUUAAUAUCUGCGUAAUCUCCCAGGCUGUGUUUCCUAGCACUAAACUGGAGAUAAUGGCAGAUAACACUCCAAGUUGUUAUAAGGAUUAAGAGAGAGACAUCUAUGAAAUCCUUAUUACGUUGUGUACUUCCUAGUAAAUAUUAAUCUUUUCCUAAUUUUCCCUCCUCCACACAAUUUAGUUUCUAUCCCCUGGAUCAUAGGUUAGAUUGACCCGAUUAGAUUACAACUCCCCGUUCAGAAUCAAUUCAGAAAUCCCAUUCAGAAAACAGCCUGAACCACACAUUUAUUUCAAAAUUAUUUUCUUUCAAAGAAAUUGCUGUUGAAGUUAUUUUUACUCUGAAAAGCAUCUGUGCCUUUCUCAGUCAAAACGUGAUUUUUUCUAUGUGUAUGAAUUUAUUAUUUAACAUCUUCAUAAAAGAUAUUUUCUGUGGGUUAAAACUAUGAAUGAAUGAUAUUUUAAUGCAUAUGAUAAAUAAAGUAGCCUUUGUAUCCACA